RNAcentral lists this ribosomal RNA (265 nucleotides) under uncultured archaeon. RNAcentral's name for it is "partial 16S ribosomal RNA". It matches the Rfam family "Archaeal small subunit ribosomal RNA", at positions 717 to 982 of the family's 1478-position model. The record is from RNAcentral.
ACACGACUACAUUAGACUACCCCUGUAGUCCCAGCCCUAAACGAUGCGCGUUAGGUGUAUCGGUGACCACGAGUCACCGAGGUGCCGAAGGGAAACCGUGAAACGUGCCGCCUGGGAAGUACGGUCGCAAGGCUGAAACUUAAAGGAAUUGGCGGGGAGCACCACAACGGGUGGAGCCUGCGGUUUAAUUGGACUCAACGCCGGGAAGCUCACCGGAUAAGACAGCGGAAUGAUUGCCGGGCUGAAGACCCUGCAUGACCAGCUG